AUACGGAGGGUCCAAGCGUCAUCCGGAAUCAUUGGGUUUAAAGGGUCCGCAGGCGGUCAAUUAAGUCAGAGGUGAAAGCCCAUCGCUCAACGAUGGAACUGCCUUUGAUACUGGUUGACUUGAGUUAUACGGAAGUAGAUAGAAUAAGUAGUGUAGCGGUGAAAUGCAUAGAUAUUACUUAGAAUACCGAUUGCGAAGGCAGUCUACUACGUAUAUACUGACGCUGAGGGACGAAAGCGUGGGGAGCGAACAGGAUUAGAAACCCUAGUAGUCC
Molecule: ribosomal RNA, 274 nt
Filed under: uncultured bacterium
Lineage: Bacteria
Description: partial 16S ribosomal RNA
Rfam family: Bacterial small subunit ribosomal RNA
Source: RNAcentral